GCACUGGUUGCAUAUGGCACGCCCGCCGUCUUUGUAGCUAAGAUAGAUAUCAUUCUAUAACGGCGGAUUGGGGUUCGAAUCCCCACCAGUGCA
Molecule: non-coding RNA, 93 nt
Organism: Mycena galopus ATCC 62051
Lineage: Eukaryota; Fungi; Basidiomycota; Agaricomycetes; Agaricales; Mycenaceae
Source: the annotation of a GenBank genome assembly